UCUGGGGAAGCAGGGCAGAAGAUAGGGAGCUCCUAAAGGCCGGGAUCAGUCCCCCUGCAAGUAAGGCCAAGAGAGAGAGAGGUGUCUGGCUCUGCGUUCACUUCUUAUAGCCUCUCAGAGCCCCACUGGGAUGUAGACCCGCAGAGCUUCUGAAAAUGAUUCACUAGUACUGAGAGGUUUUCUAGAUGCACAAAGUGAAGUGCUCUCACUUCAUCCUCCUGAGGACUAGAAUCAAGCUGAAUUGCCAUUUAGAAGACUCAUCUGGCUAUUGAGGAGUCUCUAAUGGAAGACUUUGGAGUCCUGAAUCUGGGAGGCCAUACAGAUGAAGGGCAGCAGGCAGAUGCAAGACUGCUCGGGGCUGGGACUCUCGGGAUCGCAUGACAGCUGAGAGGUACCACAUUCUGAUGACCCCACAGGGACCUUUUUAAAAAGACAAGUGAUGGGCACCUCGGUGGCUCAGUCUCUGGGCGUCUGUCUUC
Molecule: long non-coding RNA, 479 nt
Organism: Mustela erminea (ermine)
Lineage: Eukaryota; Metazoa; Chordata; Mammalia; Carnivora; Mustelidae
Exons: 3
Source: RefSeq, a predicted model, not a curated record